This is a long non-coding RNA of Corticium candelabrum, 690 nucleotides long. RefSeq lists it as uncharacterized. The record is from RefSeq and is a predicted model, not a curated record. The transcript has 2 exons. Lineage: Eukaryota; Metazoa; Porifera; Homoscleromorpha; Homosclerophorida; Plakinidae.
UGGCAAGUCAUGAGUAGAGGGCUUGGCUUCGCGUGACGCUGUCGUUUACCAAUGACGACGAAAGAUCAAACUGAUGACAAAGCUACUGUCGCUGAUGCGUCUAUUUACCUUUAUCUUUCUCCUGGAAAGUGUGAGGAGCCAAACCUGUGACAAGAGCUCAACACACGCUCGUAGCACGUCCAACUGUCAGGAUGGAAUCUUCUACAACGCGAUGCUGACGCCCUCUGCAAUUUUGGACAACGCCCACGUGGGAGAGGCGUACUCACUAACUGCCACAGGAGAGAUUUUUUUGACAAAAGCACAGCAGGAUCUACCCGUCUUCUACGUAUACCACUAGCUAAAGCAGGCCAACUCAAUCAAUUUCAAACGAUUUCGGUAGAUGUUACUUUCUCACACAGAAACCCUACUUCCACAACAACAGACAUGGAUCUAGACGUUUAUCUAUCGGACGGAGUUUCUGCCAUUGGGUUUCGGAGCCACGACAAAUCAAAUUUUCACGAUUUGUGUCCUUUGUGUGCUUGUGAAGGAUUAAGUGGACCGAAAAUUGCAUCUGUGUCUUUGCAAAAAUGCUAACCAAGGAAUAAAAUCAGAUCCGGCUACCGUCCAUACUCUACACUCUAGAAUCGAUCCACAUCGACAAGCAACAGGAGCUGGUUACAGUAACGUGAUGUCUGUCUAUCAUCAGUACAC